This 684-nucleotide ribosomal RNA is filed under the name uncultured bacterium. Its description in RNAcentral is "bacterial SSU rRNA". It matches the Rfam family "Bacterial small subunit ribosomal RNA", at positions 49 to 747 of the family's 1533-position model. The record is from RNAcentral.
GAACGAAGCAUUUCGGAGGAAGUUUUCGGAUGGAAUCUGGAAUGACUGAGUGGCGGACGGGUGAGUAACGCGUGGGUAACCUGCCCUGUACUGGGGGACAACAGUUAGAAAUGACUGCUAAUACCGCAUAAGCGCACAGGACCGCAUGGUCCGGUGCGAAAAACUCCGGUGGUACAGGAUGGACCCGCGUCUGAUUAGGUAGUUGGCGGGGUAACGGCCCCACCAAGCCGACGAUCAGUAGCCGACCUGAGAGGGUGACCGGCCACAUGGGGACUGAGACACGGCCCAAACUCCUACGGGAGGCAGCAGUGGGGAAUAUUGCACAAUGGGGGGAACCCUGAUGCGGGGGCGCCGAAAAAGUGAAGAAGUAUUUCGGUCUGUAAAGCUCUAUCAGCAGGGAAGAAAAUGACGGUACCUGACUAAGAAGCCCCGGCUAACUACGUGCCAGCAGCCGCGGUAAUACGUAGGGGGCAAGCGUUAUCCGGAUUUACUGGGUGUAAAGGGAGCGUAGACGGUAGAGCAAGUCUGAAGUGAAAGCCCGCGGCUCAACUGCGGGACUGCUUUGGAAACUGUUCAACUGGAGUGCUGGAGAGGUAAGCGGAAUUCCUAGUGUAGCGGUGAAAGGGGUAGAUUUUAGGAGGAACACCAGUGGCGAAGGCGGCUUACUGGACAGUAACUGACGUU